AUGAAACUUACCUUCAAAUUUUUAUUAUAUUCGUAAAAAAUAAUUACGUGAUAGGCUUAUAAUGUAAUAAUUGUAAAAUUUUUAGUUUUAAGUACUAAAAUUAAUAACUUUAAAUAUAGAUUUUAGUUUAAAUAAAAAUAAAUAAAGUUUGUAUUUAUUUAUUAAACUUGAGUUUGAUCCUGGCUCAGAAUGAACACUUGUAAUAUGCUUUACACAUGCGAGUAAUGCGCAAACGGGUGAGUAAUAAUAAAAUUUUUCCUUUAUUUAUUAAAGAUAAAUUUAUACAAGAUUAGGUAGUAGGUAAUGAAAGAUUACCCAGCCUAUGAUCUUUAGUUGGUCUAAGAGGAUGAUCAACCACAUUGGAACUGAAACAAGGUCCAAGCUUUUUAUAGCCAGCAGUGAGGAAUAUUGGACAAUGAACACAAGUUUGAUCCAGCAAUAUUACAUAGAUGAUGACGGCUAAUUUGGUUGUAAAAUCUAAAUAAUAAAAACUAUAAUGAAGUUUUAAAAAAAGUCCCGGCUAAUCUCGUGCCAGCAGCCGCGGUAAUACGGGAGGGGCUAGUGUUAUUCAAAAUUAUUGGGCGUAAAGGGUUUGUAGAUGGUAUUAUAAAUUAAUUUUUAAAAAAUAAAGCUUAACUUUAUUUUUAAAAUUAAAACUGUUAUACUAGAAUUUUAAUUAGAAAAAUAGAACUUUAUAAGUAAAGAUAAAAUUUUUAGAUUUAUAAAAGAAUCUCAAAAGCGAAAGCUAUUUUUUAAAUUUAAAUUAACAUUGAGAAACGAAAGUAUAGGGAGCAAAUAGGAUUAGAUACCCUAGUAGUCUAUACUGUAAACACUGAAUACUAAAAUUUAAUAAAAUUAGAUUUUUAAGUUAACACAAUAAGUAUUCCGCCUAAAGAGUACGAUUGCAAGAUUGGAAUUUAAAGGAAUUGACGGGAACCUAUUACAAGUGGUGGAGCAUGUGGUUUAAUGCGAUAAUACGCGCGUAAUCUUACCAGUUUUUGAAUAAAAAAUUUAUUUUUUUUACAGGUGUUGCACGACUGUCGUCAGCUCAUGUUGUAAAAUUUUUGGUUUACUCCUUUAACGAGCGUAACUUUUAUCUUUUUUAACAAAAAAUGUAAUAAAGAAAUUAUAAACAAAAAGUUUAAAGAAUAAAAAUAACGUCAAGUCCCUGUGACCCUAAUAAACUGGGCUAUACAUGUGCUACAAUGAAAAUUACAACAAGAAACUUUUAGUUAACCUUUAAAAAUUUUCUUAGUUCGGAUUGUAAAUUGAAACUCAUUUACAUGAAGUUGGAAUCACUAGUAAUCGCAAAUUAGAACGUUGCGGUGAAUAUUAAAUUGGUUUUGUACACACCGCCCGUCACAUGCAGGAAGUUAUUUUUUUUCGAAGUUUGAAAAAACAAUUAAAAAAGUAAUAACGUGGAUGAAGUCGUAACAAGGUAGCUGUACGGGAACGUGUAGCUGGAAUUUUAAUGAAAU
This 1478-nucleotide ribosomal RNA is filed under the name Melosira undulata. RNAcentral's name for it is "small subunit ribosomal RNA". The stretch from base 162 to 1470 matches the Rfam family "Bacterial small subunit ribosomal RNA". The record is from RNAcentral. Lineage: Eukaryota; Bacillariophyta; Melosirophyceae; Melosirales; Melosiraceae.